CUAAGCUAUUUUUAUGGCAUUUUUUUACUACCUUUAGUUAGAAGCAUUUAUCCUGGUCAUUGUAAGUGGCAUACACACAUGCUAUAUAUUGUUUUUUCAGCAGAGUCUAGGUUACCCAAAUCUGUCACAAUUUCAUGUAUUAAUA
Alosa sapidissima (American shad) is the source of this 145-nucleotide long non-coding RNA. RefSeq lists it as uncharacterized. The transcript is spliced from 3 exons. Lineage: Eukaryota; Metazoa; Chordata; Actinopteri; Clupeiformes; Clupeidae. The record is from RefSeq and is a predicted model, not a curated record.